CUGGUCGAUAAACAACUUUUAUUUCAGAGAUCGCACAAUACGUGUAUAUGAAAGACAAUGUUAACAUACCCGAAUAUCACAGACAUAGUUAUAACAAAAAUAGAGAUUAUUCUUAUAAAUGAUGAAAAACAUUUAUGAAUAUAAAACAAGUCAAAAAGUAGUUUAAGUAUCAAAUCUAAUAGUAUGUUUAAUGGUCGUACAUGUACUUUGUUGAUUAGAUAGAAAUAAAGAUAGUUAAAGGGUUAUAUCUGUAUUGUAGUUACGGUAACAAGAACUAACGGUUCACUGGAAUAAACAAUUGAAAAUGUGUAACAAACUGUGCAUAAUGUGGAAUUUAAACACAUAAAACUAAUCAAAAUUAGCGAUAACCAGCGUGCUGACAAGAAAAUCCUAGAGCAAACAUUUAAUAAUUUAACAUUAUGACAUACAAAAUAACUCCAUCCAAUCAAACAUAAAAAAUAUGAGGCAAAAUAAUAUAUAAACAUGCGGUAUGAUUGCCAUUGAGACAACUCUCCAAAAGAGUCCAAUUGACACAGAAAUUAACAACAAGUAGUUUAUCCCUAUCUACCCUAAAUUUGCAUGCCUUCCCAAAUAUAUUUUUUGGAAAUUUUCGGUUAAGCAUAGAUAAAAUCCAGAUAGUUUUUUCGUUCAGCAUGCUUAAAGUAAACUUUUCCAUAAAAUAUUUUUAAAAGAUAAAACCAUUUUAAUGAUCUGCUUUUUUCUAUCAAGAGACAAACGACAAGUAAUCAAAUAUUUAUGUAUUUUGUAUAAGUUACAAAAUAACCCACUUCAACACGUCGCACAUGGAAUGCUAUACUGUCUCUAUGAACCUAUCGGUUAAUAUUUCAAAGAUGUCCACAAGAUAUGUUUGUUAGAGAACAACAUUUUGAACAUCUUCAUAAAUAUUUCACAUGCAAGUAGGUUAGUCUUUUGAAGAACAAAUGGAAAAUGGGUGAAAAUAAACCAAGUUCUUUAUCAUUCGAAAUUGGCAACUAUUUUUAUCAAAAUGAUAUACUGAAAUAAAAUGUCAUGCGUUUAGAGUAUGAAUGAUGACUUUGCCAUGUUCCAUACCACCUACUUCAAAUAACAAAUUUUAGUCAAAUGCAAUUAAAAUGUUCAAUAUUUUUUUGAUUUUAAUAUAUAUUUGAAUAAAAG
This 1155-nucleotide long non-coding RNA is filed under the name Mytilus galloprovincialis (Mediterranean mussel). Lineage: Eukaryota; Metazoa; Mollusca; Bivalvia; Mytilida; Mytilidae. The record is from RNAcentral.